CCUACGGGCGGCAGCAGUGGGGAAUAUUGCGCACUGGGCGAAAGCCUGACGCAGCGACGCCGCGUGAGGGAUGAAGGUCUUCGGAUCGUAAACCUCUGUCAGCAGGGAAGAACGGUCACUGUGCUAAUCAGCAGUGAAUUGACGGUACCUGCAAAGGAAGCACCGGCUAACUCCGUGCCAGCAGCCGCGGUAAUACGGAGGGGGCGGGCGUUAAUCGGAUGUACUGGGCGUAAAGCGCUCGUAGGCGGUAUGUCAAGUCAAGGGUGAAAUCCCCGCGCUCAACGUGGGCACUGCCUUUGAAACUGGCAAACUGGAGUGUGUGAGAGGAUAGUGGAAUUCCAGGUGUAGGAGUGAAAUCCGUAGAUAUCUGGAGGAACAUCAGUGGCGAAGGCGACUAUCUGGCACAUAACUGACGCUGAGGAGCGAAAGCGUGGGUAGCAAACAGGAUUAGAUACCCGGGUAGUC
Molecule: ribosomal RNA, 465 nt
Filed under: uncultured bacterium
Lineage: Bacteria
Description: partial 16S ribosomal RNA
Rfam family: Bacterial small subunit ribosomal RNA
Source: RNAcentral